ACCUGACUGGCUCAGUUGGUGGAGCAUGAGACUCUUGAUUAUGGGGUUGUGGGUUCAAGUCCCACGUUGGGUG
RNAcentral lists this transfer RNA (73 nucleotides) under Felis catus (domestic cat). It matches the Rfam family "tRNA". Rfam says of the family: Transfer RNA (tRNA) molecules are approximately 80 nucleotides in length. Their secondary structure includes four short double-helical elements and three loops (D, anti-codon, and T loops). Further hydrogen bonds mediate the characteristic L-shaped molecular structure. tRNAs have two regions of fundamental functional importance: the anti-codon, which is responsible for specific mRNA codon recognition, and the 3' end, to which the tRNAs corresponding amino acid is attached (by aminoacyl-tRNA synthetases). tRNAs cope with the degeneracy of the genetic code in two manners: having more than one tRNA (with a specific anti-codon) for a particular amino acid; and 'wobble' base-pairing, i.e. permitting non-standard base-pairing at the 3rd anti-codon position. The record is from Rfam by way of RNAcentral. Lineage: Eukaryota; Metazoa; Chordata; Mammalia; Carnivora; Felidae. RNAcentral also lists the same sequence under 5 other names.